This 258-nucleotide long non-coding RNA is filed under the name Ananas comosus (pineapple). RNAcentral's name for it is "long non-coding RNA (ACOM_LNC022467)". The record is from RNAcentral. Lineage: Eukaryota; Viridiplantae; Streptophyta; Magnoliopsida; Poales; Bromeliaceae.
CCACCGAAUUAAAAUUGUUUUUGAGAGGGAAUUUUGAAUAGUUUAUUUUGAAAUGAACCAAUCCGAUAUUCAAAGCAAGAUUGUACCAUAAAUAGUUUAGUCAUUCCUAUUCCAGAGCGAAAUAGAAAUUAGAAUUCGAUUUUCGUAAAAUCAAUAAAUCUCGUUCUGAUUCCAUAUUAUAAAAUAGGUGAACCAAAUAUAUCCUUAGUAUUCUCAAGAAAAAGGAAAAGAAAAAAAAAGUCAACCAAAUGCUCAAAU